RNAcentral lists this ribosomal RNA (331 nucleotides) under Proasellus synaselloides. Its description in RNAcentral is "partial 16S ribosomal RNA". It matches the Rfam family "Bacterial large subunit ribosomal RNA", at positions 1950 to 2516 of the family's 2925-position model. Lineage: Eukaryota; Metazoa; Arthropoda; Malacostraca; Isopoda; Asellidae. The record is from RNAcentral.
GCAAAGGUAGCAUAGUCACUUGCUUCUUAAUUGGGAGCUGGAAUGAAAGAGGCGACGAAAUCUGGACUAUUUAAAUUUAAGRAYAAAUUGACAAGCAGCUCAAAAGGCCUGCAUGCRCCARUGGGACGAUAAGACCCUAUAAAACUUUACUYUUAAUAAGGUGAYAAYCAGAAAUUUARCYNUAUUUGAGAGUUUAACUGGGGCGGUAGUUAUAAAAACAAUUAUAUAUAUAAUAUAUUAAAUAGUGUUAGUAGAACUCUUUAAGAAAUAGAACAAGUUACUUUAGGGAUAACAGCGUAAUUCUCCCAGAGAGUUCUAAUUGGCGRGAGAG